RNAcentral lists this ribosomal RNA (122 nucleotides) under Chloroflexota bacterium. RNAcentral describes it as "Chloroflexi bacterium (sediment metagenome) partial 23S ribosomal RNA". It matches the Rfam family "Bacterial large subunit ribosomal RNA", at positions 2798 to 2925 of the family's 2925-position model. Lineage: Bacteria; Bacillati; Chloroflexota. The record is from RNAcentral.
CCCAAGAUGAGAUCCCCCUUCCUUCGGGAGAAAGACCGCCAGAAGACUACUGGUUUAAUAGGCGGCAGGUGUAAGCGCAGCAAUGCGUUAAGCUUAGCCGAUGCUAAUGGUCGAGGGCUUAC